This 457-nucleotide ribosomal RNA is filed under the name uncultured bacterium. RNAcentral's name for it is "bacterial SSU rRNA". It matches the Rfam family "Bacterial small subunit ribosomal RNA", at positions 340 to 786 of the family's 1533-position model. The record is from RNAcentral.
UACGGGAGGCAGCAGUGGGGAAUAUUGCACAAUGGGCGCAAGCCUGAUGCAGCCAUGCCGCGUGUAUGAAGAAGGCCUUCGGGUUGUAAAGUACUUUCAGUCGUGAGGAAGGUGUUAAGGUUAAUAACCUUAGCAAUUGACGUUAGCGACAGAAGAAGCACCGGCUAACUCCGUGCCAGCAGCCGCGGUAAUACGGAGGGUGCGAGCGUUAAUCGGAAUUACUGGGCGUAAAGGGCACGCAGGCGGUUAAUUAAGUUGGAUGUGAAAUCCCCGGGCUUAACCUGGGAAUGGCAUUCAAGACUGGUUAGCUAGAGUCUUGUAGAGGGGGUAGAAUUCCAUGUGUAGCGGUGAAAUGCGUAGAGAUGUGGAGGAAUACCGGUGGCGAAGGCGGCCCCUGGGACAAAGGACUGACGCUCAUGUGCGAAAGCGUGGGGAGCGAAAACAGGGAUUAGAUACC